Molecule: long non-coding RNA, 266 nt
Filed under: Fukomys damarensis (Damara mole-rat)
Lineage: Eukaryota; Metazoa; Chordata; Mammalia; Rodentia; Bathyergidae
Description: lncRNA (ENSFDAG00000031661.1)
Source: RNAcentral
AGGACUUUAUUCUGCUGAUCCCAGUGAGAUAACUGGCCUGAAAAUUAGAUCCAAAGUCUUGUUUAAUUGCAUACAAAAGACAAGAAGACAACCUGGCUGAUGUAGCAUGGGACUCUCCUUAACAGUGUUAUGGAUUUUACAGCAUGGCAGUAGUUUGGGCUGUUCCUGUGCAUCUCAGUUCUGCUUUAAGGCAGCUGAUCUUCCCAAAGAAUCCUUGUUGAAUUGACCCCACACGCUGUACACGGAGAAAAGAUGCAAAAAGCCAC